RNAcentral lists this ribosomal RNA (402 nucleotides) under Camaenidae sp. MV4. RNAcentral's name for it is "partial 16S ribosomal RNA". It matches the Rfam family "Bacterial large subunit ribosomal RNA", at positions 1808 to 2582 of the family's 2925-position model. The record is from RNAcentral. Lineage: Eukaryota; Metazoa; Mollusca; Gastropoda; Stylommatophora; Camaenidae.
CAAAAACAUAGCUAUAUGAACAAAUAUAUAGUAAUUUCUGCUCAAUGAUUAAUUAAAUAGCCGCAGUACCCUGACUGUGCUAAGGUAGCGCAAUCAAUUGACUUUUAAAUGAAGUCCUGUAUGAAGGAAACUAUGGAGGGCUACUUUAUCAUUAGUAAUUACUGAAUUUGUUAAGGUAGUGAAAAUUCUCCUAUAAAAAUAAAAGACGAGAAGACCCUAGAAAUUUUGAGGUAGUACUUUUUGUUGGGGCAACAAAGUAGCAUUCAAUCUACUAUUAUAACACGAAAUUAAUAUUUAGCGAGAUUAAAUUACUCUAGGGAUAACAGCAUAAUUUGUGAGAGUUUGUGACCUCGAUGUUGGAUUAGGGAAUUUACAUUCAGAAGAUAAUUAAUAGCUCUGUUC